This 174-nucleotide ribosomal RNA is filed under the name Klebsiella pneumoniae. RNAcentral describes it as "partial 23S ribosomal RNA". It matches the Rfam family "Bacterial large subunit ribosomal RNA", at positions 2769 to 2925 of the family's 2925-position model. Lineage: Bacteria; Pseudomonadati; Pseudomonadota; Gammaproteobacteria; Enterobacterales; Enterobacteriaceae. The record is from RNAcentral.
UGCUGAAAGCAUCUAAGCACGAAACUUGCCCCGAGAUGAGUUCUCCCUGAGACUUUAAGUCUCCUGAAGGAACGUUGAAGACGACGACGUUGAUAGGCCGGGUGUGUAAGCGCAGCGAUGCGUUGAGCUAACCGGUACUAAUGAACCGUGAGGCUUAACCUUACAACGCCGAAG